RNAcentral lists this ribosomal RNA (122 nucleotides) under Esox lucius (northern pike). The record is from RNAcentral. Lineage: Eukaryota; Metazoa; Chordata; Actinopteri; Esociformes; Esocidae.
ACUGACGGCCACACCUAACCCUGAGCACAGCCCGAUCUCGUCUGAGCUCGGAAGCUAAGCAGGGUCGGGCCCGGUUAGUACUUGGAUGGGAGACCGCCUGGGAAUACCAGGUGCUGUAAGCU